RNAcentral lists this unclassified non-coding RNA (217 nucleotides) under Hevea brasiliensis (rubber tree). The record is from RNAcentral. Lineage: Eukaryota; Viridiplantae; Streptophyta; Magnoliopsida; Malpighiales; Euphorbiaceae.
AAUUGGGUGCAAACAAAUUACUCUCUAAUUCUAAAGAAAUUAAUGAAUGGUUGUUUGGGUCAGAGUUAGGAUAACAAUCCAAAGUCAAGACAAAACCCCAAAUCAAAUAAUUAAGCACGAGAUGCACACCAAACAGGAACUCCUGUUACUACUCCUCCAGGAUAAUUCUGCUCCACCGCAGGCAAUCCCCAGGUUGGCCGUGACGACGAUGACGAGG